This 3171-nucleotide ribosomal RNA is filed under the name activated sludge metagenome. Its description in RNAcentral is "bacterial LSU rRNA". It matches the Rfam family "Bacterial large subunit ribosomal RNA". The record is from RNAcentral.
GUUCCCGUGACUCACUUUAGUGAGGCACGUGUAUGGCUGAUAGGCUAAUGCAUAUAAGGGGUUGUGAUAUAACACGAGACCAAGCCAGAGUACUGAAGUGAAGACUACUUCGCACUGAGCAAAAUACACUGUGAACGCAUAGCGCUGAUUUUGGCAAAGUGAAAAUUAUUCAACGUAUUUCCGAUACGUUUCAUGAUUUUCACAAAGCCAAAAUCUAGCGAUCUGUGCUCACAGGCGCAUUUUGUCCAGCGCGAAGUAGUCUAACUUCAGGAGUCUGGUUUGCGAUAGCAGACUAUCAUUUGCUAGUAAGGUAAGAAAACGGCGUGGUUAGCUGAAUAGUUUGAAUGACUAACCAAAGGACGUGAAAGUCGCGUAAGCGAAAACGACGCUGACCUUAUACGUGUUUUAUCGAGUAGGACGGGGCACGAGAAACCCUGUUUGAAUCCGGCAGGACCACCUGCCAAGGCUAAAUAUAAUGUACGAUCGAUAGUGAACUAGUACCGCGAGGGAAAGGUGAAAAGAACCCCGGGAGGGGAGUGAAAUAGAUCCUGAAAUUGUGUGCUUACAAGGAGUCGGAGCGGAUUUAUUCCGUGACGGCGUGCUUUUUGUAGAACGAUCCAGCGAGUUAAUUUCUGAUGCAAGGUUAAGUCAAGUGACGGAGCCACAGUGAAAGCGAGCCUGAAUAGGGCGAUAUAGUAUCAGGAAUUAGACCCGAAACCGGGUGACCUAACCAUGGGCAGGUUGAAGCUACUGUAAUAGGUAGUGAAGGACCGAACCGUCGUACGCAGCAAAGUGCUCGGAUGACCUGUGGUUAGAGGUGAAAUGCCAAUCGAACUCGGAGAUAGCUGGUUCUCCUCGAAAUAGCUUUAGGGCUAGCGUCAAUUAAUUAGCAGACGGGGGUAGAGCUCUGUCAAGGACUGGGGUCCGCAAGGAUACCCACCCUUAACAAACUACGAAUACCGUCUGUGGUACAUUGGCAGUUAGAACGUCGGGGCUAAGCUCGGCGCUCGAAAGGGAAACAGCCCAGACCAUCGUCUAAGGUCCCUAAAUAUACACUCAGUGGGAAACAAGGUGAGAUUUCUUAAACAGCUAGGAUGUUGGCUUAGAAGCAGCCAUUCAUUUAAAGAGUGCGUAACAGCUCACUAGUCAAGAGAUCUUGCGUGGAAAAUGUAACGGGGCUCAAGUGUAUUACCGAAGACAUGGAUGUGUGUGCCUCACCAAGGUGAGAGCACGGGAUUAGGGAUUAGGAAAUAGGGAAUAGGGAAAAGACGAUUUGUUUUUCUUCCCCCAAUACCCAUUUUCCAAUCCUCACACCCGUGCAUCACUUUAGUGAGGCACAUACGUGGUAGAGGAGCGUUCCUGUCAGCAGUGAAGUUCAACUGGAAAGUUGGGUGGAGCGGCAGGAAGUGAGAAUGCUGGAAUGAGUAACCAUAAGACGGGUGAGAAUCCCGUCGGCCGUAAGAGCAAGGUUUCCUGAGCCAUGGUAAUCAUCUCAGGGUUAGUCGGGCCUAAGCCGAGGCGCAUAGCGUAGGCGAUGGACAUCAGGUUAAUAUUCCUGAACCGGUUAUAAUUUGUACACUGUUCACGGUGAAGUAGUCGAAGCGGAUUCAUGGUAUGUAUCCGUCCAACCUAGCGGGAACGCAAAGGGAGUGAAAGUUAUCCUUCGGGAUGACGAUUUUGAUCAAAGCACUGGCUAGAAAAGCAGAUGUACGCGUGAUUAUAGCCGCCCGUACCGCAAACCAACACAGGUGCUCGAGUCGAGUAGACUCAGGCUUACGAGAGAACCUUCGCUAAGGAACUCGGCAAUACAGCGACCGUAACUUCGGGAUAAGGUCUGCCCCCACAUCAUUCGAUGUGAGCCGUGUUCAACUAACUUAGUAGAGGUGGUUAGAAUGAAUAAUGAGUACGCAUUAUAUAGAAAUAUAUAGUGUGUCAAAACCUUUUAAUUACUAAAAUUUUUACUGAGAUAGACAAAUCAUGAUAAUGAUUCUUGAGCACGACCUCUCAUAUCUAAUGAUGUGGGGGCCGCAGCAAAAGAGCCCACGGAACUGUUUACCAAAAACACAGGUCUCUGCUAAUUCGAAAGAAGAUGUAUAGGGGCUGACUCCUGCCCAAUGCUGGAAGGUUAAGGGGAGCGCUUUACGGUGCGAACUGAAGCCCUAGUCAAUGGCGGCGGUAACUAUAACCGUCCUAAGGUAGCGAAAUUCCUUGUCAGGUAAGUUCUGACCCGCACGAAUGGAGUAAUCAUGUGGGCACUGUCUCAGCGAAGGACUCGGUGAAAGUGCAUUGGCGGUAAAGAUGCCGUCUGUCCGUACCAGGACGAAAAGACCCCAUGGAGCUUUACUACAGCUUUACAUUGAUCUGGGUUACAACAUGUGUAGCAUAGGUGGGAGCCAAUGAAACAGAUACGCUAGUAUUUGUGGAGGCGAAAUAUGAAAUACCACCCUUGUUGUGACUUUGAUCUCACCGUUACCAUUAUCUGGUAACGGGACCGUGUAUGGUGGGUAGUUUAACUGGGGCGGUUGCCUCCUAAAGAGUAGCGGAGGCGUUCAAAGGUUGGCUAGCAACGUAUGGAAAUCGUUGUGAUAGUGUAUGCGCACAAGCCAGCUUGACUGUGAGGGGUACAUCCCAAUCAGAGACGAAAGUCGGAGCAAGUGACCCGCUGUACGUACAUUUAUGUACAUGAACGUGGGAUCGACAGCGCACACGGAUAAAAGUUACCCUGGGGAUAACAGGCUUAUAGCGCCCAAUAGUUCACAUAGACGGCGCUGUUUGGCACCUCGAUGUCGGCUCAUCACAUCCUGGAGGGGGAGCACCUUCCAAGGGUUCGGCUGUUCGCCGAUUAAAGUGGUACGCGAGCUGGGUUCAGAACGUCGUGAGACAGUUCGGUUUAUAUCCGGUACGGACGAUAGGAAAUUUGAGGAGAUCUACCCCUAGUACGAGAGGACCGGGGCGGACAAACCUCUGGUGUAUCGAUUGUGGCCACCUGCUGCAUUGUCGAGUAGCUACGUUUGGAAUAGAUAAGCGCUGAAAGCAUAUUAAGCGCGAAACUAACUUCAAGAUAAGAUUUCCCUAUGAGGACACUGAAAGAAUAUCAGUUUGAUAGGUGCAAGGUGGAAGCGUGGCAACACGUGUAGCUAAAGCAUACUAAUAGUCCCAUCGCCUUUUUAU